UUGUUUCCUGGAUCAAAGAUUUUAUGAAGUCAGAAACACUGAACCUGAUAGAAGAGUUAUGUCUACAGCUGACAACUGUUCAAACAGAAGUGGUAAAUCAAGACUCAGGAACUUUUCUACAAAGGGAGAGAAAGCAAACAUCUCUGGAUUUGUUACCCUUAUGCUCUGCACUGCAAAUAAUCAAGUCUGCCAUCAUAGCACGGAAACAACUCUAAAGCACGUUGUUUCAGGCAACAAAACAGCAGUGCUCUCAGCAGACAGUGUAACCUCCUCCGGAGCUGUGACAGUGCAGAUGGUACACCAAGAAACAAAACCCUUAAGCCCGUGAUGAACUGCUUUUAUUUCUUCUCUUGGAAUUCUUUGAUUCUCCUUUAAUAUUUGACACCGAUUUGAUAAAAAAAAAAACCUCUCUGAAGUAUAUGUGUAAGCACACCAGAGAAUACUCUAGGAGUAUUGAGUACAACCUCUCAUUUCAGCCAAUCUUUACUGAUAUGCAAAUCCAUAUGUUUGUUAAUACAGUUACCUAUCACAAGAACAUUACUUCCUUAUGUCAGCAUUAUUUUAUGGUUGGUGCUUGCUAAUAUUUUUCCUCCAUUUAGCAACUUUUAGAAGAAAAUGAGUCAGCAAUAAUUGUAUUUUUUAACCUUACAAUUUAUAUUAGCUGUAAGAAAUUUUAAUAACAUGAAGAAAUUUCAUCAGGAGCAAAAGCAUCAACCAUUUAGUAAUGAUUCUGUUAAAGAACACAUAUUGUGAAAUGAAUGACUCAGUUUUAGUAGCCGAAUAUUUAGAAUGCCUUCUUGGUUAAAUGCAUGAACAUAGAAUAAAAUUAGAGAAUAUAUGUAAAUAUAUAAUCAUUUUUUCCAACUUAAUAUGGCCAUGUAUGCAUUAUAUAUUUUGUGCUGUAAUGCAUGGAAAGCUUUCUCCCAGUGCCUAAACAAACCCUCACAAGGUGGACUAUCUUCCUAUAAGCUAUUAUGAAAAAGGUCCUUCAGGUCCCCAACAUAAGACAGGCAGUUAGCACUUCUGCUGGUGGUCAUCCUUAGCUAACUGACAACGUUACUAAAGACAUCACCUGCCUUGGUACCAAGACACAGAGAAGUCAGAAUAGAGCCAGUAUGGAAGCUUCCUUCCUUCUGUCAAGCAUUUAUGUGUUCUAAGGUGCUGUGCAGGCUCACAAGGGGGAAAAUAACCUCCACAGUCUUAAUGAGCUGGGAACUCUGUGGGCAACAACACCAACCUGCCAGGAAAGAUGAAUCCACUGGUGUGGAAGAGGCAAGUCUGUUAUGGGUGUAACCAACCACUUUCUGAUUAUAUUUGAUUCUUGCUCUGCAGGGGAACAUUCAGGUCUGCUAUGAUAAACAUAAAAAGAAGCGAUGACCUGGGAGGUUACAGACCCUUGUGGGGAAGCAACUGCUGUUGUUUUGCUAAACAGACAUAAUGUAUGUGUCAAAUAUUCUUCUAAGUCACCAUGGUCAUAGAUUACAUUGCUUUCAUCUGUGGUUAGAAAAGUUUCAUUGGCAAUGUUCUGAAGCAACACCAGGGACUCAUACGUAGUCAAGUUAAAGAGAAGAAAUUAAUUAUGAACGAUAUAUGUAAAUAGCCUCCCAGUUCCAGAAAGGAAAUUUGUAAGAGCAAGUUGAAUGGCAGCCUAGACCACUAACCUUGUGUGCAAAACCAAAACAAAACAGAAAAAACCAACGCUUAUUUGAAGCCACAGUAGUUUUCAUUACCUUAAUACAAUCUUCAAAGACUUGGCCUAUAAGCCUUUAUCACAGUAGUUGCAGGGACCCAUGAGGCCUUACCAUUCCCUAAGACAAUGGGAGCAGAACCAGAAUUUUUCUCAGUAUUGUAAACAUUCUUAAGGUGUACAUUCUCUUGUAAAAAAAAAAAAACUUUCAUCACACUCUAUAAAAAAUUCUAGGAAAACUCAUUGAGUACUAUCAAGGAGACUGGAAAGUAGAAUGUGGUGAGUAUAGUGAUAUUUGAGACAAAGGGAUCAUGUACAGUGAAAGGAAAGCAAAGGAAUAAUUGAGUAUUGGGAAUAUGAUCAAAGCAUAGAAUGGAUAUAUAUAUGAAAAUGCCAUGUUGAAGCCUAUUAGUGUGUAUAAUAUAUGCCAAUGUUUUUCACAUUAAUUUUUUGAACAGAACAAAAGUUAACAAUGAUACAUUUUUAAAUUUUUGUAUUAAGUGAGUAAAUAAAAUAAUGCACAAAUAAUUUAUGAGUGAAGAGUUAUAAAUACUCCUUUUUCUCUUCAAAAAUAUAAAUAUGUUGACAGAUUGUGUUGAGUAGGGUGUUAUUCAAUUACACUUCUAGAAAUAAAACUGUGUGGGUAGGCUUCAUUAUAUCAAUUUCACUAAAUGAAGUAAUGUCUAAAUGAAAUAAAAUAUGGAAAUAACAAUAUAGUUAUUUAAGAUUGGUGAUCAUCAAUGAACAAUAUUUACAAGGACAAUUUUGAAAGUGCCUAAAUAUCCAUCCAUCUUUAGAGUCCCAAACUUCCUUUAAAAGAUAAGAAAAACUUAUAACAUCAAUAGCAUGACUGUCACUACUAAAAUUCUAUUUAAUUACUUAGAAAAUUUCUCUGGAAAGAUACUGUGCUGGGAAGUGAAUAUUUAGAAAUAGAAGAUUAAAUACCCUUCCUUAAAAUCUUCAUAGGUUACCAGAAUCAUAGCCAAGUUUACUGAGAUAAUUUUGGUUUUCUACUGAACAUUUUAAUGGCUUAUAUUCACUAGAUAUUUCUAAAUGUUUCACAACUAUGUUUAAACUCAAGAAUAUCAUUUAUUUGAACAUUUCCCCAAUAUUCUACUAGCUUUUUCUGUAUUUUUCUUUUAUAUGUUUUUUCCCCUG
Molecule: long non-coding RNA, 2845 nt
Organism: Microtus ochrogaster (prairie vole)
Lineage: Eukaryota; Metazoa; Chordata; Mammalia; Rodentia; Cricetidae
Exons: 3
Source: RefSeq, a predicted model, not a curated record